RNAcentral lists this ribosomal RNA (497 nucleotides) under uncultured bacterium. RNAcentral describes it as "partial 16S ribosomal RNA". It matches the Rfam family "Bacterial small subunit ribosomal RNA", at positions 28 to 507 of the family's 1533-position model. The record is from RNAcentral.
GAUGAACGCUGGCGGCGUGCCUAAUACAUGCAAGCCGAGCGAACAGACGAGGAGCUUGCUCCUCUGAUGUUAGCGGCGGACGGGUGAGUAACACGUGGAUAACCUACCUAUAAGACUGGGAUAACUUCGGGAAACCGGAGCUAAUACCGGAUAAUAUAUUGAACAGCAUGGUUCAAUAGUGAAAGACGGUUUUGCUGUCACUUAUAGAUGGAUCCGCGCCGCAUUAGCUAGUUGGUAAGGUAACGGCUUACCAAGGCAACGAUGCGUAGCCGACCUGAGAGGGUGAUCGGCCACACUGGAACUGAGACACGGUCCAGACUCCUACGGGAGGCAGCAGUAGGGAAUCUUCCGCAAUGGGCGAAAGCCUGACGGAGCAACGCCGCGUGAGUGAUGAAGGUCUUCGGAUCGUAAAACUCUGUUAUUAGGGAAGAACAGAUGUGUAAGUAACUAUGCACGUCUUGACGGUACCUAAGCAGAAAGCCACGGCUAACUACGUG